AGAAACACGGACCAAGGAGUGCAACAUGUGCGCGAGCCCUUUGGCGAGCAAACCAGAAGGCGCAAUGAAAGUGAAGGCACGGUCGCCGUGCUGAGGUGAGAGCCGGCCCCGACGGGACGGCGCAUCAUCGACCGAUCCCAUCCGCACUGCUCGCAGUGUGGCGGGAUUCGAGUGAGAGUGUACCUGUUGCGACCCGAAAGAUGGUGAACUAUGCCUGAAUAGGGUGAAGCCAGAGGAAACUCUGGUGGAGGCCCGUAGCGAUUCUGACGUGCAAAUCGAUCGUCAAAUUUGGGUAUAGGGGCGAAAGACUAAUCGAACCAUCUAGUAGCUGGUUCCCUCCGAAGUUUCCCUCAGGAUAGCUGUAGCCCGAAGCAGUUUUAUCAGGUAAAGCGAAUGAUUAGAGGUAUCGGGGAAGAAACUUCCUCGACCUAUUCUCAAACUUUAAAUAGGUAAGAAGUCCGACUUGCUCAAUCUGAAGCCGGACACAGAAUGCUGGGUUACUAGUGGGCCAUUUUUGGUAAGCAGAACUGGCGAUGCGGGAUGAACCGAACGCAGAGUUAAGGUGCCAAAGUCGACGCUCAUCAGAUCCCACAAAAGGUGUUGGUUGAUAUAGACAGCAGA
RNAcentral lists this ribosomal RNA (621 nucleotides) under Dictyoceratida sp. KD1. Its description in RNAcentral is "eukaryotic LSU rRNA". It matches the Rfam family "Eukaryotic large subunit ribosomal RNA", at positions 655 to 1244 of the family's 3401-position model. The record is from RNAcentral. Lineage: Eukaryota; Metazoa; Porifera; Demospongiae; Dictyoceratida.